This 253-nucleotide ribosomal RNA is filed under the name uncultured bacterium. RNAcentral's name for it is "partial 16S ribosomal RNA". It matches the Rfam family "Bacterial small subunit ribosomal RNA", at positions 524 to 776 of the family's 1533-position model. The record is from RNAcentral.
UACGGAGGGGGUUAGCGUUGUUCGGAAUUACUGGGCGUAAAGCGCGCGUAGGCGGACUGGAAAGUUGGGGGUGAAAUCCCGGGGCUCAACCCCGGAACGGCCUCCAAAACUAUCAGUCUAGAGUUCGAGAGAGGUGAGUGGAAUUCCGAGUGUAGAGGUGAAAUUCGUAGAUAUUCGGAGGAACACCAGUGGCGAAGGAGGCUCACUGGCUCGAUACUGACGCUGAGGUGCGAAAGCGUGGGGAGCAAACAGG